UACAGAGGUCUCAAGCGUUGUUCGGAUUCAUUGGGCGUAAAGGGUGCGUAGGCGGCUGUCUAAGCAGGGUGUGAAAGCCCCCGGCUCAACCGGGGAAUUGCGUUCUGAACUGGACGGCUGGAGUGGGAUAGGGGUGUGUGGAACUUCCGGUGGAGCGGUGAAAUGUGUUGAUAUCGGAAGGAACGCCGGUGGCGAAAGCGACACACUGGGUCUCAACUGACGCUGAGGCACGAAAGCCAGGGGAGCGAACGGG
Molecule: ribosomal RNA, 253 nt
Filed under: uncultured bacterium
Lineage: Bacteria
Description: partial 16S ribosomal RNA
Rfam family: Bacterial small subunit ribosomal RNA
Source: RNAcentral